RNAcentral lists this ribosomal RNA (460 nucleotides) under uncultured bacterium. RNAcentral's name for it is "partial 16S ribosomal RNA". It matches the Rfam family "Bacterial small subunit ribosomal RNA", at positions 338 to 795 of the family's 1533-position model. The record is from RNAcentral.
CCUACGGGAGGCAGCAGUGAGGAAUAUUGGUCAAUGGCCGGAAGGCUGAACCAGCCAUGCCGCGUGAAGGUCAGUGCCCUAUGGGCGUUAAACUUCUUUUGUGCGGGAGCAAUAAUGGUCACGUGUGGCCAGACGAGAGUACCGUACGAAUAAGCAUCGGCUAACUCCGUGCCAGCAGCCGCGGUAAUACGGGGGAUUCAAGCGUUAUCCGGAUUUAUUGGGUUUAAAGGGUGCGUAGGCUGUGAGGUAAGUCAGCGGUGAAAUGCCCCCGCUCAACGGGGUGAAGUGCCAUUGAUACUGCCUGGCUGGAGUGCGGAUGCAGUGGGAGGAAUGUGUGGUGUAGCGGUGAAAUGCAUAGAUAUCACACAGAACACCGAUUGCGAAGGCAUCUCACGAAUCCGCGAUUGACGCUGAUGCACGAAAGCGUGGGUAUCAAACAGGAUUAGAUACCCGGGUAGUC